Mus musculus (house mouse) is the source of this 1239-nucleotide long non-coding RNA. RefSeq annotates it as predicted gene, 31400. Lineage: Eukaryota; Metazoa; Chordata; Mammalia; Rodentia; Muridae. The transcript has 2 exons. The record is from RefSeq and is a predicted model, not a curated record.
GUGUGAAGGGAAGGUGGAACCUUUAAGGGAUGGGAUCUAGUGGGAGGACUCACCCUGCCCUGCUCUUUGAAUGCUGAGUCACCAGAGGAUGCACCUCCCUAGGAUGCACCACCCUUCAUGCAACAUGCUAGAACAUGAGUCAGGGGAACUUCACUGGAGCCUAUGCCAUGCUGCUUGAGUUCUCAACUCCCAAAACGGUAAAUGAAAUAAACCUCUUUUCUCUACAAUCACUCAGUCUCAGACAUUUUAGUGUGUCAACAGAAAGUUAAUAAAGGACCUUGCUACCAUUUUAUCUUUGGCGCACGUAGGGGCAAUUGGGUACAAUGGGUUAAACCGGUACUUCUAAGAACUCUGUAGUCCCCCACCGACAGGAUCCAUUCUCUCUUUUGACUGAAGGUAGGGUAAUCUUUGGACUGACAUACUGCAGCCUCAGGCUGCGGCAGUAUCAGAGUAGAUAACAAGUGUGGAUUGGACAUCACCAGUCUACCCAGGGUGCCCUCUACACCUGACUCCUCCCAAUGUCCUCCCCAGGAGGUUACCCUGAAGAAUCCCUCCAGCUUCCCUGUCCAGAGCCCCAGCCAUAUCCCUGGAUGCUGGGUGGCUGUAUUUCCAGAAGCCCGAGGUUGUGUAUAGCAGGUUGGAUUAGGGCGGAAGUGCUCCAGUUGGUCCUUCUUCUCCCAGUCCCCAUGGUCUCUCUCCAGGGCCUCUGCACAUCUGGACUGCCAUGCAAUCCUGGAUCCCAGCCUCUUCCUGUGGCUGUUUUCCAGAGGUAAAGAAGGCACUGCAUCAUUUCCUGCUGAUUUACCCAAGCCCUGCCCCAACCUGUGUAGGAGGGUUUUCCUCUGAGCUUUCCAGAACUUUUGGACUCCAUUCCACCAUUUGGAAGAGACUAGAAGAGACUCGUGCCACAAAACAAUCAAUUUCUCUGGCAAACAGACUUAAUUCAACUGGAACUUGGAGGUCUGAAGCUUCAACGAACCUGUCCUUUCAUCUUCUCCAUAUGUUUACAAGCCAGUGGAGAGGCCCAUGCAUCCUACCAAGACUUUGCACAGAGGUCCAAAAGCUGAGCUGUUCACACAGUCCCACUGAACGCCAGCACCCUUACCUCACCUCUGCCUGCUGUUUCCUUAACUCCACCCUCCCCGAUCUGCUGUUCAAAUCUGAAUGGGAGGUGUAUGUAGAGGGGCAAGUCAAAUAUUCAAAAUAAAGUAUUAAGCUGCAUCUUCCAAGAGAAUCCAA